Molecule: ribosomal RNA, 778 nt
Filed under: uncultured Neocallimastigales
Lineage: Eukaryota; Fungi; Neocallimastigomycota; Neocallimastigomycetes; Neocallimastigales
Description: partial large subunit ribosomal RNA
Rfam family: Eukaryotic large subunit ribosomal RNA
Source: RNAcentral
UAUCUCUGUAGAGUCUGCAUAUCAAUAAGCGGAGGAAAAGAAACUAACAAGGAUUCCCUUAGUAACGGCGAGUGAAGCGGGAAGAGCUCAAAUUUGAAAUCUUCAAGGUUUUACCUUGACGAAUUGUAGUUUAAAGAAGUGUUUUCUGUUGAAGUUUCGGUAAAAGUUCUUUGGAAUAGGACAUCAUAGAGGGUGAGAAUCCCGUAUUUGACCGUUAUUUUCAGCUGUGUGAUACACUUUCAAAGAGUCGGAUUGUUUGGGAAUGCAGUCCAAAAUGGGUGGUAAAUUUCAUCUAAAGCUAAAUAUUGGCGAGAGACCGAUAGCGAACAAGUACCGUGAGGGAAAGAUGAAAAGAACUUUGAAAAGAGAGUUAAACAGUACGUGAAAUUGUCAAAAGGGAAGCGUUUGACACCAGUGUUGUUUUCCUCGAAAAUCAAUUAAAAAUAGAUUUGAUUUUGUGUUGUAUUGACCUUAAAAGCUUUCUUCACUUUUUUCAUGUCUUUUUUAAUGCACUUUUCGUUUAACAAGUCAACAUCAGUUUCUUUUGUUGUAAAAAGGUCAUUGGAAGGUGGCUUUCUUUUCGGAGAAAGUGUUUAUAGCCUUUGACUCCUGCAAUCGGAGAGACUGAGGUCUGCAGCGUAGAUCCUUCUUGGAUUAGAUUCAUUUGUGCUAAGUUAUAGCCUUUUCAUAGACAACUUGUUGACUAUGCUCAGUCAUGUAGCUUACUCGCUUAUGCUAUUUUACCUACGCUUAGGAUGUUGAUCUCUCACAGUCGAGC